This 237-nucleotide ribosomal RNA is filed under the name Staphylococcus aureus. Its description in RNAcentral is "partial 23S ribosomal RNA". It matches the Rfam family "Bacterial large subunit ribosomal RNA", at positions 169 to 401 of the family's 2925-position model. The record is from RNAcentral. Lineage: Bacteria; Bacillati; Bacillota; Bacilli; Caryophanales; Staphylococcaceae.
AUAUCAGAAGGCACACCCGGAGAACUGAAACAUCUUAGUACCCGGAGGAAGAGAAAGAAAAUUCGAUUCCCUUAGUAGCGGCGAGCGAAACGGGAAGAGCCCAAACCAACAAGCUUGCUUGUUGGGGUUGUAGGACACUCUAUACGGAGUUACAAAGGACGACAUUAGACGAAUCAUCUGGAAAGAUGAAUCAAAGAAGGUAAUAAUCCUGUAGUCGAAAAUGUUGUCUCUCUUGAG